RNAcentral lists this ribosomal RNA (251 nucleotides) under uncultured Pseudomonas sp. RNAcentral describes it as "partial 16S ribosomal RNA". It matches the Rfam family "Bacterial small subunit ribosomal RNA", at positions 526 to 776 of the family's 1533-position model. Lineage: Bacteria; Pseudomonadati; Pseudomonadota; Gammaproteobacteria; Pseudomonadales; Pseudomonadaceae. The record is from RNAcentral.
CGAAGGGUGCAAGCGUUAAUCGGAAUUACUGGGCGUAAAGCGCGCGUAGGUGGUUCAGCAAGUUGGAGGUGAAAUCCCCGGGCUCAACCUGGGAACUGCCUCCAAAACUACUGAGCUAGAGUACGGUAGAGGGUAGUGGAAUUUCCUGUGUAGCGGUGAAAUGCGUAGAUAUAGGAAGGAACACCAGUGGCGAAGGCGACUACCUGGACUGAUACUGACACUGAGGUGCGAAAGCGUGGGGAGCAAACAGG